CGCGAAGGUGGCCGCUUACUUGGUAUUGUUGGUAGCGAUGCCUUAUCACAAUUCCAAGUAAGCCUGCAAUUACACAAGUGA
This 81-nucleotide microRNA precursor is filed under the name Pristionchus pacificus. RNAcentral describes it as "microRNA ppc-mir-2244 precursor". The record is from miRBase by way of RNAcentral. Lineage: Eukaryota; Metazoa; Nematoda; Chromadorea; Rhabditida; Neodiplogasteridae.